CGGAGUUAUCUAUAAAGAAAUCAUCAAUCUUAUCAUCGGUUUCAUCGAAUACUCUCUAUAAAUGCCACCUCAGUUCUCAAUCAAAAAAUACAUCAAAAUAGAACUUGUUUUUAACUUUUUUUCAUUCUAGUUAUAUAGAAUCCAAAACUUCUCAAAAACAAAAAAUGGUAGGAAAAAAUAUUCUUAAUUUUAGAGGUUUUCCACUCUCCAAAAAAAGAUUAAUUUUGGAGCUGGAAAGGAAGUUAAAAUUACUAGAUAAAUUAUUUUAUUGACAUACCAGCUAGAAAUGAGUGGCAUGGGAAAAUUAAAGACGUAAUGGGGGCUUCACCCGACUUCUUCCGGCAACUCAGUUGCAGCUCCAGCAAUUUCUCUUGCACCACAUGAGGAGGGAAACAUGGCAUCCAGCGCUGAUGUCUCAGCGGAUAGUGGACAGUCUCUUCAGGAACAACCUGUAGUUUUCGUCCCUAUCCAACAUGCUCACCCGAACAUAACUCGAGCUCGCACCGAAAUGCCUCCCUCCUCUUGUCAAUAUCCUGUGGCCUCUAA
Molecule: long non-coding RNA, 546 nt
Organism: Humulus lupulus (European hop)
Lineage: Eukaryota; Viridiplantae; Streptophyta; Magnoliopsida; Rosales; Cannabaceae
Exons: 2
Source: RefSeq, a predicted model, not a curated record